RNAcentral lists this ribosomal RNA (494 nucleotides) under Actinomyces sp. oral taxon 171. RNAcentral describes it as "bacterial SSU rRNA". It matches the Rfam family "Bacterial small subunit ribosomal RNA", at positions 28 to 496 of the family's 1533-position model. The record is from RNAcentral. Lineage: Bacteria; Bacillati; Actinomycetota; Actinomycetes; Actinomycetales; Actinomycetaceae.
GACGAACGCUGGCGGCGUGCUUAACACAUGCAAGUCGAACGGUGAAGGGGCCUGCUUUUGUGGGUCCUGGAUGAGUGGCGAACGGGUGAGUAACACGUGAGUAACCUGCCCCCUUCUUCUGGAUAACCGCAUGAAAGUGUGGCUAAUACGGGAUAUUCUGUGCCUGCUGCAUGGUGGGUGUGGGAAAGAUUGCGCCCUUUUUGGGUGUUUUUGGUGGGGGAUGGGCUCGCGGCCUAUCAGCUUGUUGGUGGGGUGAUGGCCUACCAAGGCGGUGACGGGUAGCCGGCCUGAGAGGGUGGACGGUCACACUGGGACUGAGACACGGCCCAGACUCCUACGGGAGGCAGCAGUGGGGAAUAUUGCACAAUGGGCGCAAGCCUGAUGCAGCGACGCCGCGUGAGGGAUGGAGGCCUUCGGGUUGUGAACCUCUUUCGCCAGUGAAGCAGGCCUGCUCCUUGGUGGGUGGGUUGACGUAGCUGGAUAAGAAAGCGCCG